This 506-nucleotide ribosomal RNA is filed under the name uncultured bacterium. Its description in RNAcentral is "partial 16S ribosomal RNA". It matches the Rfam family "Bacterial small subunit ribosomal RNA", at positions 30 to 523 of the family's 1533-position model. The record is from RNAcentral.
AUUGAACGCUGGCGGCAGGCCUAACACAUGCAAGUCGAACGGUAACAGGAAACAGCUUGCUGUUUCGCUGACGAGUGGCGGACGGGUGAGUAAUGUCUGGGAAACUGCCUGAUGGAGGGGGAUAACUACUGGAAACGGUAGCUAAUACCGCAUAACGUCGCAAGACCAAAGAGGGGGACCUUCGGGCCUUUUGCCAUCGGAUGUGGCCAGAUGGGAUUAGCUAGUAGGUGGGGUAACGGGUCACCUAGGCGACGAUCCCUAGCUGGUCUGAGAGGAUGACCAGCCACACUGGAACUGAGACACGGUCCAGACUUCUACGGGAGGCAGCAGUGGGGAAUAUUGCACAAUGGGCGCAAGCCUGAUGCAGCCAUGCCGCGUGUAUGAAGAAGGCCUUCGGGUUGUAAAGUACUUUCAGCGGGGAGGAAGGGAGUAAAGUUAAUACCUUUGCUCAUUGACGUUACCCGCAGAAGAAGCACCGGCUAACUCCGUGCCAGCCGCCGCGGUAA